UAAACGACUCUCGGCAACGGAUAUCUCGGCUCUCGCAUCGAUGAAGAACGUAGCGAAAUGCGAUACUUGGUGUGAAUUGCAGAAUCCCGCGAACCAUCGAGUCUUUGAACGCAAGUUGCGCCCGAAGCCACUAGGUUGAGGGCACGUCUGCCUGGGCGUCUCGC
This 164-nucleotide ribosomal RNA is filed under the name Camellia hongkongensis. RNAcentral's name for it is "5.8S ribosomal RNA". It matches the Rfam family "5.8S ribosomal RNA". Rfam says of the family: 5.8S ribosomal RNA (5.8S rRNA) is a component of the large subunit of the eukaryotic ribosome. Lineage: Eukaryota; Viridiplantae; Streptophyta; Magnoliopsida; Ericales; Theaceae. The record is from RNAcentral.